RNAcentral lists this long non-coding RNA (588 nucleotides) under Homo sapiens (human). Its description in RNAcentral is "non-protein coding lnc-SLC7A6-3:1". The record is from RNAcentral. Lineage: Eukaryota; Metazoa; Chordata; Mammalia; Primates; Hominidae.
AUGCUGGGAAGGUGGGGUCGCUUUGGGGUUCUGUGUGCAGCGAGCAUGGUGUCCUUGGCACCAGGGUUUCGGCAGAGGAGCCUAGCGUGGGCCUACUUGGACUCCUCCGCGUGGGGCAGCUCGGGACACCCGGGCCUGCAGGAGAGCGGGGUUCUAGGCUGGCCCCGGCUCUGCAGUGCAGCCGGGUGCCUGCCACUCGCGGGGCUCUGUCGCAGUACUCGUGCCUGGCGCCUCCCCUCAGCCACAGAGACCGCAGUAGCUCCAACCAUCGCACCCCUAACUGGGCCACGAGUUCUCUGAUUGCCAGACCUGUUGUCUUUGCCACUCACUGUUCUGAGUAAUUGGAGAGUCGUGUAUUCACUACACGCCAACCAGAGUGGUCCUGUAAAAGCAGUCUCACUCUGCUGCCUAGGCUGAGUGCAGUGGUGUGAUCGAGGCGCACUGCAGCCUUGACCUCCUGGGCUCAAGCGAUCCUCACCUCGGCCUACCGAGUAGCUGGGACUACAGGCACGCGCCACUACACUCGGAUUUCUGACAGUCAGACUUGUCCACAAGAACUCAACUGGCAAGGCUGCUUUUCUGUGCUAA